AUUGAACGCUGGCGGCAGGCCUAACACAUGCAAGUCGAGCGGAUGAAGGGAGCUUGCUCCUGGAUUCAGCGGCGGACGGGUGAGUAAUGCCUAGGAAUCUGCCUGGUAGUGGGGGAUAACGUCCGGAAACGGGCGCUAAUACCGCAUACGUCCUGAGGGAGAAAGUGGGGGAUCUUCGGACCUCACGCUAUCAGAUGAGCCUAGGUCGGAUUAGCUAGCUGGUGGGGUAAAGGCCUACCAAGGCGACGAUCCGUAACUGGUCUGAGAGGAUGAUCAGUCACACUGGAACUGAGACACGGUCCAGACUCCUACGGGAGGCAGCAGUGGGGAAUAUUGGACAAUGGGCGAAAGCCUGAUCCAGCCAUGCCGCGUGUGUGAAGAAGGUCUUCGGAUUGUAAAGCACUUUAAGUUGGGAGGAAGGGCAGUAAGUUAAUACCUUGCGGUUUUGACGUUACCAACAGAAUAAGCACCGGCUAACUACGUG
RNAcentral lists this ribosomal RNA (484 nucleotides) under uncultured bacterium. RNAcentral's name for it is "partial 16S ribosomal RNA". It matches the Rfam family "Bacterial small subunit ribosomal RNA", at positions 30 to 507 of the family's 1533-position model. The record is from RNAcentral.